RNAcentral lists this ribosomal RNA (398 nucleotides) under uncultured bacterium. RNAcentral's name for it is "partial 16S ribosomal RNA". It matches the Rfam family "Bacterial small subunit ribosomal RNA", at positions 338 to 734 of the family's 1533-position model. The record is from RNAcentral.
CCUACGGGGGGCAGCAGUGAGGAAUAUUGGUCAAUGGGCGCGAGCCUGAACCAGCCAAGUCGCGUGAGGGAUGAAGGUUCUAUGGAUCGUAAACCUCUUUUAUAAGGGAAUAAAGUGUGGGACGUGUCCUAUUUUGCAUGUACCUUAUGAAUAAGGAUCGGCUAACUCCGUGCCAGCAGCCGCGGUAAUACGGAGGAUCCGAGCGUUAUCCGGAUUUAUUGGGUUUAAAGGGUGCGUAGGCGGUCCGGAAAGUCAGUGGUAAAAGCUGGGGGCUCAACCCCGGAGAGCCGUUGAUACUGUCAGACUAGAGACGACGAGAGGUACGCGGAAUGCGUGGUGUAGCGGUGAAAUGCAUAGAUAUCGCGCAGAACUCCGAUUGCGAAGGCAGCGUGCCGGCG